Paramuricea clavata is the source of this 449-nucleotide non-coding RNA. NCBI's taxonomy places the organism in Eukaryota, Metazoa, Cnidaria, Anthozoa, Malacalcyonacea, Plexauridae. The record is from the annotation of a GenBank genome assembly.
UAUUCGAUUCUAUAUGCGUUGGAAAUGACUUCAACCUGACAAAACAUAUUAAAAUAAAGACUUUACUAAGAAUUUAUACACAUCUCUAUACAGUAUGAGCGUUAUGCACUUAUCCUGUGGUCCAUAGACGGUUCGUAUUUCAAGGAUAAAAGGAACCGCGCAGCAGGACACCGCGGACACGAAGGCUACAGAAGCUCACGCUUCCGUCCGGCUCACAUACCUGCGCAUGCACCGGCUACCCACAAAAACAUUGUCUAGAUGGACAAGACGAAUUAUUUAGAUGUAGACCCAAAAUCAUAAGCGAAGUUUGAAAAUAUAGGUUUUCGUGUUAGAAAUAGAAAUAUAUUUUGUUGUAGAAACGCUGACUUUGUUGUCAUGGGAAACGCUCCCAGAUGCGGUACACACGACGCUUGGGUGCAUGCACAUAUUGACAUAUUAAUAGAAACGAU